RNAcentral lists this long non-coding RNA (234 nucleotides) under Elaeis guineensis (African oil palm). RNAcentral's name for it is "long non-coding RNA (EGUI_LNC015871)". The record is from RNAcentral. Lineage: Eukaryota; Viridiplantae; Streptophyta; Magnoliopsida; Arecales; Arecaceae.
CUCCACCUCCGUCGCCUCCUCCCUCGCACUUCUAUCCUCCACCACCUUAUGCUUCUCCACCUCCACCACAUUACUCGCCGCCGCCGCCACCUAACUCACCACCGCCACCACCCAACUCGCCGCCGCCUCCACUGUAUUUGCCGCCGCCGCCACCACCAAACUCCCCACCACCGCCGCCUCCAUGCAUGGAGCUGCCUCCGCCGCCACCAUCACCGCUAGCUUCUCCUUCACCAG